Molecule: ribosomal RNA, 1204 nt
Filed under: human gut metagenome
Description: bacterial LSU rRNA
Rfam family: Bacterial large subunit ribosomal RNA
Source: RNAcentral
UGUCAAAAGGGAAACAGCCCAGACCUACAGCUAAGGUCCCAAAGUCAGGUUAAGUGGAAAACGAUGUGAAGAUACGCAGACAACCAGGAUGUUGGCUCAGAAGCAGCCACUCAUUCAAAGAGUGCGUAAUAGCUCACUGGUCGAGCGUCUUUGCGCGGAGAAUUUAACGGGGCUAAACCUGACACCGAAGCUUAGGCAAUCCAGUAAUGGAUUGGGUAGGGGAGCGUUGUAUACGCGGAGAAACAGUAGCGUAAGCGGCUGUGGAGUGUAUAGAAGUGAGAAUGCCGGAAUGAGUAGCGCGAAUGCAGUGAGAAUCUGCAUGGCCGAAAGCCUCAGGUUUUUGGAGGAAGGUUCGUCCGCUCCAAGUUAGUCGGGAGCUAAGGUGAGGCCGGAAGGCGUAGCCGAUGCACAGACGGUAGAGAUUCCGUCACCACCAAAAGAGUUAAGCACAGGGACACAUUUGAAGUCUCAGAGCCGGGUGUUGGUUCCGGUAGAGAUCGAGGGAAAUUAGUACCGAAGUCUGAGAUGGAAGAUGGCGAGAAAAGCUGUGUGUAUUUCUGAGGUGCCCGUACCGCAAACCGACACAGGUAGGUAGGAAGAAGAUUCUAAGGCCAACGGGAGAAGGGUUGUUAAGGAACUCGGCAAAUUGACCCCGUAACUUCGGGAGAAGGGGUGCUCCAGAGAUGGAGCCGCAGAGAAUCGGCCCAAGCAACUGUUUACCAAAAACACAGGUUUGUGCUAAAUCGAAAGAUGACGUAUACGAGCUGACGCCUGCCCGGUGCUGGAAGGUUAAGAGGAGAUGUGCAAGCAUUGAAUCGAAGCCCCAGUGAACGGCGGCCGUAACUAUAACGGUCCUAAGGUAGCGAAAUUCCUUGUCAGGUAAGUUCUGACCCGCAUGAAAGGCGUAAUGAUUUGGGCACUGUCUCAACAGCCCGCCCGGCGAAAUUGUAGUACCGGUGAAGAUGCCGGUUACCCGCGACAAGACGGAAAGACCCCAUGGAGCUUUACUGUAGCCUAAUAUUGGGUUUCGAUGUUGCAUGCACAGGAUAGAUGGGACACAGGGAAACAGGAGCUUUGGCUUCUGCGGAGUGGCCGUUGGGAUACCAUCCUUGCGAUAUUGGAAUUCUAACCUGCGGCUCUGAAUCGAGUCGGGGGACAUUGUUAGGUGGGCAGUUUGACUGGGGCGGUCGCCUCCUAAAAAGUA